UGGUCAAGUUAUUAAGGGUGCAGGGCGGAUGCCUUGGCACUAGGAGCCGAUGAAGGACGUGAUAAGCUGCGAUAAGCUUCGGGGAGUUGCACGUAAACUUUGAUCCGAAGAUUUCCGAAUGAGGAAACUCACUUAGAGUAAUGUCUAAGUAUCAUUAAGUGAAUACAUAGCUUAAUGAGGGGAACUCAGGGAACUGAAACAUCUAAGUACCUGAAGGAAGAGAAAGAAAUUCGAUUCCGUAAGUAGCGGCGAGCGAACGCGGAUUAGCCCAAACCAAUAAAGUUUUCUUUAUUGGGGUUGUGGACAUAUCAUAACGAAGAGGUAUCGUAAUUGAAGAGGUUUGGAAAGACCCACCACAGAAGGUAAUAGUCCUGUAUGUUAAACGAGAAGACUUUAGAUAUGAUCCAGAGUACCACGGGACACGUGAAACCCUGUGGGAAGCAGGAGGGACCACCCUCCAAGGCUAAAUACUACCUAGUGACCGAUAGCGUAUAGUACCGUGAGGGAAAGGUGAAAAGAACCCCGGGAGGGGAGUGAAAUAGAACCUGAAACCCUGCACUUACAAGCUGUGGAAGCACAUUUCUUGUGUGACCGCGUACUUUUUGUAGAACGGGCCAACGAGUUACGUUAAGUA
RNAcentral lists this ribosomal RNA (634 nucleotides) under Clostridioides difficile. RNAcentral's name for it is "partial 23S ribosomal RNA". It matches the Rfam family "Bacterial large subunit ribosomal RNA", at positions 1 to 639 of the family's 2925-position model. Lineage: Bacteria; Bacillati; Bacillota; Clostridia; Peptostreptococcales; Peptostreptococcaceae. The record is from RNAcentral.